This 500-nucleotide ribosomal RNA is filed under the name uncultured bacterium. RNAcentral describes it as "partial 16S ribosomal RNA". It matches the Rfam family "Bacterial small subunit ribosomal RNA", at positions 29 to 523 of the family's 1533-position model. The record is from RNAcentral.
AUUGAACGCUGGCGGAAUGCUUUACACAUGCAAGUCGAGCGGCAGCACGGGGGCAACCCUGGUGGCGAGUGGCGAACGGGUGAGUAAUACAUCGGAACGUGCCCAGUCGUGGGGGAUAACGUAGCGAAAGCUACGCUACUACCGCAUACGAUCUCUGGAUGAAAGCGGGGGACCGCAAGGCCUCGCGCGAUUGGAGCGGCCGAUGGCAGAUUGGGUAGUUGGUGGGGUAAAGGCUCACCAAGCCGAGGAUCGGUAGCUGGUCUGAGAGGACGACCAGCCACACUGGGACUGAGACACGGCCCAGACUCCUACGGGAGGCAGCAGUGGGGAAUUUUGGACAAUGGGCGCAAGCCUGAUCCAGCCAUUCCGCGUGCAGGAUGAAGGCCCUCGGGUUGUAAACUGCUUUUGUACGGAACGAAACGGUGCUCUCUAAUACAGGGCGCUAAUGACGGUACCGUAAGAAUAAGCACCGGCUAACUACGUGCCAGCCGCCGCCGUAA